UACGUAGGGUGCAAGCGUUAAUCGGAAUUACUGGGCGUAAAGCGUGCGCAGGCGGUGAUGUAAGACAGAUGUGAAAUCCCCGGGCUCAACCUGGGAACUGCAUUUGUGACUGCAUCGCUGGAGUGCGGCAGAGGGGGAUGGAAUUCCGCGUGUAGCAGUGAAAUGCGUAGAUAUGCGGAGGAACACCGAUGGCGAAGGCAGCCCCCUGGGCUAACACUGACGCUCAGGCCCGAAAGCGUGGGGAGCAAACAGG
This 253-nucleotide ribosomal RNA is filed under the name uncultured bacterium. RNAcentral describes it as "partial 16S ribosomal RNA". It matches the Rfam family "Bacterial small subunit ribosomal RNA", at positions 524 to 776 of the family's 1533-position model. The record is from RNAcentral.